RNAcentral lists this ribosomal RNA (253 nucleotides) under uncultured bacterium. Its description in RNAcentral is "partial 16S ribosomal RNA". It matches the Rfam family "Bacterial small subunit ribosomal RNA", at positions 524 to 776 of the family's 1533-position model. The record is from RNAcentral.
UACAGAGGGUGCGAGCGUUAAUCGGAAUUACUGGGCGUAAAGCGCGCGUAGGCGGCUUUGCAAGUCGGGUGUGAAAUCCCCAGGCUUAACCUGGGAACUGCAUUCGAGACUGCAUUGCUAGAGUAUGGGAGAGGGAAGUGGAAUUUCCGGUGUAGCGGUGAAAUGCGUAGAUAUCGGAAGGAACAUCAGUGGCGAAAGCGACUUCCUGGUCCAGCAUCGACGUUCAGGCACGAAAGCGUGGGGAGCAAACAGG